UGGGGAAUCAUGGUCAAUGGGCGAAAGCCUGAACCUGCGACGCCGCGUGAGUGAUGACGGUCGUCAGAUCGUAAAACUCUUUUCAGGGAUCUUAAAGCCUGUCUGUCAACAACAGGCAGGUCUGACUCUCCCUGGAAGAAGCCCCAGCCAACUCCGUGCCAGCAGCUGCGGUACUACGUAGGGGGCGAGCGUUAUUCGGAAUUACUGGGUGUAAAGGGUAUGUAGGCGGCCCUUCAAGUCGCGUGUCAAAGUCCAGUGCUCAACGCUGGGUGUGUACGCGAUACUGACGGGCUUGAGGGCUGGAGAGGUGAGCGGAAUUCCCGGUGUAGUGGUAAAAUACGUAGAGAUCGGGAGGAACACCAGCGGCGCAGGCGGCUCACUAGACAGUUUCUGACGCUAAGAUACGAAAGCGUGGGGAGCAAACA
This 425-nucleotide ribosomal RNA is filed under the name uncultured prokaryote. RNAcentral's name for it is "bacterial SSU rRNA". It matches the Rfam family "Bacterial small subunit ribosomal RNA", at positions 355 to 774 of the family's 1533-position model. The record is from RNAcentral.